Molecule: long non-coding RNA, 772 nt
Organism: Branchiostoma floridae (Florida lancelet)
Lineage: Eukaryota; Metazoa; Chordata; Leptocardii; Amphioxiformes; Branchiostomatidae
Exons: 3
Source: RefSeq, a predicted model, not a curated record
AACGUUAAAAUUCGAGAACAGACCUAGAGCGAAAGAAACCCACGCACGGCUCAACAGGUCACGGACUGAAGGUACAGACUGAAGGUGUGUUUUCUUGUCUCCGCUUGCCCUGUUACCGACCUAUUGAGUGGAAACGUGAAGAACAUAACAUGAAGACGAUGAGACGUCUCUUGGUUGGGGUCAUCAUUGUCCUCAUAGCCGGAAUGGCAGUUGAGGUGGCAGGUUCUAGGUGUAGAGCGGACGGCGACUGCGAGCCUGACGAAUGCUGCACGGCGUACCGUACGUGCAAGCCGAAGAUUAGGGAAAAGGGUAUGUGCCACCUCCGCUCACUCCAUAUCUAUGCUGGACAACAUUGUGGCUGCGAUGAUGGGCUCAAGUGUCAACCCUUGUCCGGCAUGGCUGCGCUUUUCGCGGGAGGGUUUGGGUGGGGAAGGUGCACCAGGUGAAGAAAGAGGGAAUGGUCCGGUUGCGGUGUCCCUCAUCGUGCUUGGGCGAACUUCGAAAAAGUGGAGUUCCCGACCAACAGUCGAUUCUAUAGACGCGAAACAUGAUGGACUGCUUGCAAGGCUGAACAAUACCUUCAGUUUAUUGCCAGAUAACCGACAUCCCGGCCCCAUCAGUGCACAGCUAGAAAAAUAUUUGAACUGGAUACCAGAAACUCUGAAAGAAGCAUCUAUAGCUAACAUCAAGGAAUUAUCAUAUCAUAAUCAACGCAUUUUCCGCUCCGUGAAUACUGGAUAUUGAAAUAAAAUUGCAGCAGUUGCAUGGACAA